UUGGUGCAGAACUGUGUUAGUUCUAACCAUUCUGGUCAUUGGUUAGACCAGAAUAUCUUGAUAAUAUGCUACGGGACAGUAUUAUAUUUCAGCUGAGUUGACUGGACCAGCCACUUUCUCCAUAUCUCAAGUAAUCGUGCACAAACCCCAUCCCCCCAGCUUUGCAGCAGAGGUCUCCCACCUUACAGAUGAAAAACUGCUCAGGAUACUGAAUUAUACAGGUGCAAUAUUUAAAGAAAACUCGACUUGAAAAAAUGAAAAUGAAAGAUGAUGCCUGACCUGCUGAGUUCCUCCAGCACAGUAAGAUGCAGCAUCUGCUGCUCCUUGUAUCUCUGGGUUUGCAUGCAAGGUUCCUGGAGUUGCUGCCCUAAUCAAAACGAGGAUUUGAGAAUCUCUUUUACCCAAAACUGGGAAAUGAAGCAGGGAAGCAGCCAAAUUACAUUAGUAUUGUGCACCUCUAAGCAAAUCUAAUCUAGUCUGGAUAAAUAUUUAUCACAUUCUUUUUAAAUCUUGUUAAAUUGUGCCGCAAGAAUGAAUGGAAGAAUACAAGAAUGUAUUUAACUUUGUAGAUCACUGUGCAUAGCAACUCCCAGAAAUAACAAGUAACUUUGGAUAGAGAGUGUUCAUAAAAUAAAUGGGAAUAGAUUUAAGUUUGUAAUGAAAUGAACAAAAUGAUGUCAUAUUUCAUGAAUAUACAAAAUUGCUCUGCGACGGAAGAUUUACUUUCAUGUCAGUGAUGGCAUUCAGAGACUGUCACACUGGAAUGAAUGAAUAAUCUUCAAUUUGUGGAGAGAAUUAUAGCAAAAUCUUGCUUCAACGCAUCAGAAUCAAUAAUAUAUUAUUUUAUAGGUAAUCAUGCAAAUGAGGGGCAGGAUUUGUUUUCAAUGUUUGCUUUCUGAAUUUAUUCUGUAACUUAGUAGAAACAAAUGAUAAACUUCAACUAAAUUUGAUUAUGUAUUUUGGCUAAGAAAAUUGAUCAUAAAAUAGUGUGGGAAGUCUUUUCUCACUUGGAUUUCACAAUCGCCCGGUGUAACUUUGAUGACUGAUGGACAAAACGGUAGAAAAUUAAAGUGAAAGCCAGUUUGCGUGAUCACCCUCUGAAGAUGAAAUGGGAGAUUAGUGAUGACUAACUUCAAAUACAACCUGAGUUCAUUAGCCAUACAUCAGUAGCAAUUGUGGUUGCUAAAUGGUAGUUCUGAGUAUUAGAACUGUUUCAUUUUAAAUCAGAGAGUAAAAAUGCGGCCUGUUGACUUUGAAAUAAAACAUGGCAGACAAUUUAAAUGUCGCCAUUCAUAUGAUAUUGUACAAAACUGUUCUUUAUUUAUCUUCUUUUCUUCCCAAACUAGACAGGCCACCAUUAAAGCCAUCUAGAAUUACCAUUAAACAUUUACUAGCUUUCCAUGUAGGCUAAUCUUACUCUAUCUGAAUUAAAUAAGAGUCGACUUUAAAGCCUGUCUGAAUAGUCUAUUUCCUGCUAGGGCCUGGGUAUGCUACCUGUCCGCAUAGGCCCUAAUUUUGCAGCUGUCGUCUUUCCCAGCAUUUUACUAAUAAAGGAAUCUUUUGUUCUGUUGAUAAGCAGCACAUUGUUCACUACUCAGGUGCCCAGAUUGUGCAGGAUAAUGCAAUACAAUAUUCUUCUAUCCAGCCCAGAACAACUUACAUUGCUUGGGACUGAUUUGAGUUUUCUCUUUCAUGAAACUUUCCUUGUCUGAUUCUAAAUAGGAAAAAUCCCUAAGUGUCUGUUUACGUUGAAACAUAGCUAUUAAUGUGCUAGUCCAUACUGAGCGUGAAUCAAAGAGCUACUUUGUGCAAUGGUUCUUACACUGAUGUUAGUAGCACCUCCUUUUCAUCCUAGGAAGUCAAGCAUUUCUCCAUUUAAAAACAGUAUAAUUGUUUUGACCUAGCUCAGCAGCACUAAUUUGUUCCCAAUUCGUUACUGCUUGUUUAACACAAGGUUGGCAAAUAUCUGUUUGUAACAGGUCAUUCAUGCUUCAGUAAAACUGGCAACCAUCUGUAGCUGUUAAAUGCUUUUUAUUCUUUGUUAAGUUUCUGGUAAUGCUUUUGGCAUGAAACCUUAAAGCCUUCUUACAUUUCAGUGUUCUUGAGCAUUCCUUUGCAAUCUCCUAUAGUUAUCUGUUAGCUGUUUUUUUGUUAAUUUUAGCCUAAUUCCUAUUCUUCUGUAAUUUGUUUGGUAGUUAGAGUAUUAUAAUGAUUUCUUUCUGAGCUUCAACAUUUUCUGAAAAAAUACAUUAUCUCCAAAUACAUCUGCAGAAUUGUUAAUUGUUAAUUAUUAAAUGCUAUUCAAUACCUGCACUCCAAACGAGGAACAGUAUUUGAAAUACAUACAAUAAGCAACUUGAAUUAUUCAUUCACAUGCUUUCCAUAUAGUGGGUGAAAAUAACGAUAUCAAUUUGUAUUUAAGCAAAACCUGUGCGAAAAAGAACACAUUCUAAAAAUUACAUCACAUGUUAUUCACAGAAGCAUAAUUAAAAUUAGUGGCCAAGCCAAAGAAGGAGAUAUUAGGAUGGAUUAUUAAAAGCUUAGUCAAAGUGAUGAUUUUUAGGGAAGGGCUCAUGGUGUUGAAGCUGAGAAGGUGAAGUGGUUUAGGAAGUAAAUUCCAGAGGGUAGGGUCUAAAUAAUUGAAGGUACAGACAUCAGUAUUAGGGUGAUAGGAGUUGGAGAUUGGGGUGAUUAAAUCGCAAAGAGGUUAGGGCAAUGGGGAGUUGUAGAACUGGAAAAGAAUACCGGCAUAUGGAAGCAAUGGACCAUUAAGGUAAACAUAAACAUGUACAUUUUAAAUUGGAGUCAAUAUAAAUCAGCAAGUCCAAGAAUAUUUAAUAAACAGGACUGGUGAAAUAUAGAAUACAAGCAGCAGUUGAGAAACAUAUGAUUGUUGAUUUGAAAUAUUUGAAAUGCUUUACACAUUGAGAUUAGGAUUAACUCAAGAUUACAAUGAAACGGUAAAACUGCAUAAGGUAGCAGCUAGUGAUGGACACAAAAUUAAUUUGAUUUUUUGUUGAUUAAAGUACUUGAGAAAAUAGAUUUUAAAGGCUCUAUUUCAGUCAGUAAAUCAGAUAAUGAUUUUGUUCCAAAUAUCCUCACCCUAAAUCAGAUUCAAGAAACAGCUAUUGAUAAUUCUGAAGUAUUAAAAGCAUCACUGGAUGCUCAUAUUUAUGUGACCAUGAAACUCCAGGUAAACCAGACUUCACAGUAAGCAUCUGUUGCUGUCUGAAGACAUCUCCACCGGGUGGCGCCAGCAAUGGCUGCCACGCCACAGUCCGUCUGUCCCUUCCUUCUUUGGUGUUUUAUAGUGUCUGUUAAAUGUAAUUUUUUAUGUUCUUUAGCUUGUUUUAUGUGUGUGGGGGGUGGGGG
This is a long non-coding RNA of Leucoraja erinaceus (little skate), 3372 nucleotides long. RefSeq lists it as uncharacterized. Lineage: Eukaryota; Metazoa; Chordata; Chondrichthyes; Rajiformes; Rajidae. The transcript has 4 exons. The record is from RefSeq and is a predicted model, not a curated record.